Molecule: long non-coding RNA, 1767 nt
Organism: Fukomys damarensis (Damara mole-rat)
Lineage: Eukaryota; Metazoa; Chordata; Mammalia; Rodentia; Bathyergidae
Exons: 4
Source: RefSeq, a predicted model, not a curated record
UCAAUAUUGACAUUAUCUUUUAAAUUAAAUUGCAUGGAAGUUACUUUAGAGUUGUCAAGCUACUGGUAGAAUUCACUUUUUUCCCCCUAGCCCUUUCAGUUAACAAAAAAAGACCAAAAGAAUUUCUGCUUGAUAGGGAGUUUAUGGCUCCCUAGCACAUUUUUGUGCAGAAGAGAAAUGGACAGAAUCUCCACAGACUGAGCAAAGCUCAAAUUAAUGCGAGCUUCAGCAGACCUGAGACCUUGCCAGCAUCUGCGCCCUCAGUCUCCAGACUGGAUGUGCACCAGGCCCAACCUACCAGGGGCUAGGUCACAGGGCAUCCGGAGGCCUGCUGCCCUCUGCCUGCUGCAGUCUUCUUAAGCCCAUUUUUUUGUUGUUGUUGGUCUUUCAAUUUGCAAACUGCAGCCAACAUUCUUUUCCUGGUCCACUUACUUCACUGGAGAACUGAGCUUCAGACACAGAAAUUGCCAUAAACAUUUUGAGUUGAUUCAUGACACGGAGGCAGCCAUGAUAGCACAACUAAAGACACUCAGGAAGUGAGACUUCCAGACCUGCUUAAGAGAGUGGCAAGAAGGAUGGGGAUUGUGGGUGAUGAUCUCUAACCAACAGGAUCUUGUUUGCAAAGGAGGAGAAAAAGGCGGAGAAAUCCCUCACUUCACAUGAGAUUAGGCAGGUGUGUUAAAUGUGGGAAACAGUGCAAAAUUUGUAGAAAACCACCACCCAAAUAAGGAUGUUGCAGUGCAAGCGAUGAAUCUGUUUUAUGACAGGCAAUGUCACAUUUUCAUAAACUCCUCAAACGGAGGCCAAAACAAGUAUCAUUGGAUAGGUUCCUUGUUAAAGUUGCAUGAAAAGAAAAAGAUACCACUGAGCCAAUGGAUAGCAGUGAUUCCUUUACUGAUAGUGAAAGUUGUUCUACACAGUAACCCUCCUCUCUCUUGUCUCCCUCAAACCAGCCACUAAUGUUUUUAAAGGGUGAAGGUAUUGGUUCUUAAUGCCAAGCAGAUGCACCUGUUAAUCACUUGAAAGGAAGCCUAGAAGAAAACUGUGCAAGAGAAAGUGUCGAGAGCCCAUGGGGACAGGCAAGAGUUGGCAGACCUGGUCAUCACUGAACUCAGUGCUGUCAUUAUACCUGGUGAGGUAGCUGAAUGCUGUGAGACCAACUGUUUAAUUAAUGCUCUUUGACUUUAAAAGAUUCUUCUCCAAACUGUUGCCAGCUCAGCUGCCAUUUUGAACAUUUCUAGAGUCAGGCCCUAGGAUUGUGGUUUGCAGUCUUUGCUGCACAUGAGAAUCACUUGGGGAGCUUUUUAAAACUCCCAAUGCCUGGGUCACAUUUGAGACCAGUUACUGCAAAAUUCCUGGGGUUGGAACCCAACAAUGUCAUUCUCCAGGGCACUCAGGAGAUUCCCCUGUGUUCUAGCAAAAGUGUCUAGUGGUUCCUGAAUUUGGCUACCCAUUGGAAUCACCUGGUAUCUCCAAAGCCAGCAAUGCAGGUGUCCUGCCACCAGAGAUUGUGCCUGGCCUGGCUUAUGAUCUGGAUUUUGGAUUUCUCAUAUACAAACAAUCUGUUCCUCUGUACCAUUACUUCCCUAUUUUCAAAGGAUGUGUGCCUCGCUCAGAGAUCUUGUCGGAAGGCAGACUCUGCCAUGGCUUCCAGGUGACAAGUGGCACGUGCACCGCACACCGAAGCCUCAGGGCUUUGGAACACACAGGAGAAGGUUUGCUUAUUUCUGGACCUUUUCAGUGUGGAAACCACUUUUAGAUCAAUGA